RNAcentral lists this ribosomal RNA (473 nucleotides) under uncultured bacterium. RNAcentral describes it as "partial 16S ribosomal RNA". It matches the Rfam family "Bacterial small subunit ribosomal RNA", at positions 28 to 507 of the family's 1533-position model. The record is from RNAcentral.
GAUGAACGCUAGCGGCAGGCCUAAUACAUGCAAGUCGAACGGGUGGUCGCAAGACCCCUAGUGGCGCACGGGUGCGUAACGCGUAACCAACCUGCCCCGAUCUGGGGGAUAGCCCGCCGAAAGGCGGAUUAAUACCGCAUAUACCCGCAGCCUGGCAUCAGGCAACGGGGAAAGAUUUAUUGGAUCGGGAUGGGGUUGCGUGACAUUAGCUAGUUGGCGGGGUAAGGGCCCACCAAGGCGACGAUGUCUAGGGGACCUGAGAGGGUGAUCCCCCACACUGGCACUGAGAUACGGGCCAGACUCCGACGGGAGGCAGCAGGAGGGAAUAUGGGGCAAUGGGCGAGAGCCUGACCCAGCCAUGCCGCGUGCCGGAUGAAGGCCUUCUGGGGUGUAAACGGCUUUUCUCAGGGAAGAAAAAGACCUGGCGAGGUACACUGACGGUACCUGAGGAAUAAGCACCGGCUAACUCCGUG